GUCCUCGUAGUUAAAUGGAUAUAACCGCCCCCUCCUAAGGGGCAAUUAGUGGUUCGAUUCCACUCGAGGACACCA
RNAcentral lists this transfer RNA (75 nucleotides) under Gallionella sp. Its description in RNAcentral is "tRNA-Arg". It matches the Rfam family "tRNA". Rfam says of the family: Transfer RNA (tRNA) molecules are approximately 80 nucleotides in length. Their secondary structure includes four short double-helical elements and three loops (D, anti-codon, and T loops). Lineage: Bacteria; Pseudomonadati; Pseudomonadota; Betaproteobacteria; Nitrosomonadales; Gallionellaceae. The record is from RNAcentral.